GAUGAAGAACGCAGCAAAAUGCGAUAAGUAAUGUGAAUUGCAGAAUUCAGUGAAUCAUCGAAUCUUUGAACGCACAUUGCGCCCGCCAGUAUUCUGGCGGGCAUGCCUGUUCGAGCGUCAUUUCAACCCUCAAGCCCUCGGGUUGGUGUUGGGGAUCGGCGAGCCUUUCUGGCAAGCCGGCCCCGAAAUCUAGUGGCGGUCUCGCUGCAGCCUCCAUUGCGUAGUAGUAAAACCCUCGCAACUGGAACGCGGCGCGACCAAGCCGUUAAACCCCCAACUUCUGAAUGUUGACCUCGGAUCAGGUAGGAAUACCCGCUGAACUUAAGCAUAUCAAUAAGCGGAGGA
RNAcentral lists this unclassified non-coding RNA (345 nucleotides) under soil metagenome. RNAcentral's name for it is "partial contains 5.8S ribosomal RNA, internal transcribed spacer 2, and large subunit ribosomal RNA". The stretch from base 1 to 120 matches the Rfam family "5.8S ribosomal RNA", at positions 35 to 154 of the family's 154-position model. The record is from RNAcentral.